UGCGGGGUCGUCUAAUGGUAGGACGCGCGGCUCUGAACCGCGUAAUCCUGGUUCGAGUCCAGGCCUCGCAG
Molecule: non-coding RNA, 71 nt
Organism: Candidatus Giovannonibacteria bacterium RIFCSPLOWO2_12_43_8
Lineage: Bacteria; Candidatus Giovannoniibacteriota
Source: Rfam